RNAcentral lists this ribosomal RNA (497 nucleotides) under uncultured bacterium. Its description in RNAcentral is "partial 16S ribosomal RNA". It matches the Rfam family "Bacterial small subunit ribosomal RNA", at positions 28 to 507 of the family's 1533-position model. The record is from RNAcentral.
GAUGAACGCUGGCGGCGUGCCUAAUACAUGCAAGUCGAGCGAACAGACGAGGAGCUUGCUCCUCUGACGUUAGCGGCGGACGGGUGAGUAACACGUGGAUAACCUACCUAUAAGACUGGGAUAACUUCGGGAAACCGGAGCUAAUACCGGAUAAUAUAUUGAACCGCAUGGUUCAAUAGUGAACGACGGUUUUGCUGUCACUUAUAGAUGGAUCCGCGCCGCAUUAGCUAGUUGGUAAGGUAACGGCUUACCAAGGCAACGAUGCGUAGCCGACCUGAGAGGGUGAUCAGCCACACUGGAACUGAGACACGGUCCAGACUCCUACGGGAGGCAGCAGUAGGGAAUCUUCCGCAAUGGGCGAAAGCCUGACGGAGCAACGCCGCGUGAGUGAUGAAGGUCUUCGGAUCGUAAAACUCUGUUAUUAGGGAAGAACAAAUGUGUAAGUAACUAUGCACGUCUUGACGGUACCUAAUCAGAAAGCCACGGCUAACUACGUG